This 66-nucleotide transfer RNA is filed under the name Epistrophe bashanensis. RNAcentral's name for it is "tRNA-Pro". The record is from RNAcentral. Lineage: Eukaryota; Metazoa; Arthropoda; Insecta; Diptera; Syrphidae.
CAAGAAAUAGUUUAAAUAAAAUAUUAAUUUUGGAGAUUAAUGAUAAAGAUAUGUCUUUUUUCUUGA